Molecule: unclassified non-coding RNA, 334 nt
Filed under: Hevea brasiliensis (rubber tree)
Lineage: Eukaryota; Viridiplantae; Streptophyta; Magnoliopsida; Malpighiales; Euphorbiaceae
Source: RNAcentral
GGUUGUUACAUUUUUUCCCUAAAGAAAAAAAAUUCGUCCCCGAAUUUGAACAAAUAGGGAAAACCAAAAGAAAGUGAUUGGACAAGUUUGAGUACUUGUCCCUUGUACCUUGCACAAACCAUUGAAAAUAUUCAGCUUCUUUCUAACUUUGUUGUAGCAUUCUAGGUGCCAUAACACUAUAACUUGUCCUAAUCACCCUUUAGUGUGUCCAUCUUAUAUCAUUCAUCUUGUUCUCUUCCUUGUAAUGAACUCUUUCCUGUUUCUGCUACUGUUAAAAUCUUCCCUCGCUUGUUGUACUUUCCUUUUAACCUUUGUCUCGAGUCUUGAGCUUAUA